GAUGAAGAACGUAGCGAAAUGCGAUACUUGGUGUGAAUUGCAGAAUCCCGUGAACCAUCGAGUCUUUGAACGCAAGUUGCGCCCGAAGCCACUAGGCCGAGGGCACGCCUGCCUGGGCGUCACACGUCGUUGCCCCCCCCCCAUCUACUCCUUCGGGAUUGCGGGGGGCGGAUGAUGGCCUCCCGUGCGCCUAGCCGCGCGGUUGGCAUAAAUACCAAGUCCUCGGCGACGCACGCCACGACAAUCGGUGGUUGCGAAACCUCGGUUGCCCGUCGUGUGCGUUCGUCGCGCAUCGAGGGCUCGAAAAAAUGCUCGGCUCCGGCUCGGCUUUCAACGCGACCCCAAGUCAGGCGGGGUUACCCGCUGAAUUUAAGCAUAUCAAUAAGCGGAGGA
RNAcentral lists this unclassified non-coding RNA (393 nucleotides) under soil metagenome. RNAcentral's name for it is "partial contains 5.8S ribosomal RNA, internal transcribed spacer 2, and large subunit ribosomal RNA". The stretch from base 1 to 122 matches the Rfam family "5.8S ribosomal RNA", at positions 35 to 154 of the family's 154-position model. The record is from RNAcentral.